GCAAAAGCAACUCGACAGAUUUGAACGAAACAUGGUACGUAGAUAGCUGGAGAUCUGUCUGGAAUAACACAUAGGCAAUUUUUAUCCCGACAUUUCUACGGGAUCGGAAAUUACGCAGAUGAAACUGCGUGGCGCUGCUAGUAUGUACGUAAUACUACUGAGAGGAAAAGACUGACGAAGGGCACUGUGAAGAAAAGGAGAGAAGAGGCCUAUAUCUCUUUCCUAUUAAGAAAUAUUUAAGCUAUUAGCACGCGCCUAUUUUGCUGGUUGAUGGAUGGG
RNAcentral lists this unclassified non-coding RNA (279 nucleotides) under Melitaea cinxia (Glanville fritillary). Its description in RNAcentral is "misc RNA ENSMCXG00005003661.1". Lineage: Eukaryota; Metazoa; Arthropoda; Insecta; Lepidoptera; Nymphalidae. The record is from RNAcentral.